This 72-nucleotide transfer RNA is filed under the name Pseudothermotoga lettingae TMO. RNAcentral's name for it is "Thermotoga lettingae TMO tRNA". It matches the Rfam family "tRNA". From Rfam's summary of the family: Transfer RNA (tRNA) molecules are approximately 80 nucleotides in length. Their secondary structure includes four short double-helical elements and three loops (D, anti-codon, and T loops). The record is from Rfam by way of RNAcentral. Lineage: Bacteria; Thermotogati; Thermotogota; Thermotogae; Thermotogales; Thermotogaceae.
GCGGGUGUAGCUCAGCGGUAGAGCAUCAGCUUCCCAAGCUGAGGGUCGCGGGUUCGAAUCCCGUCGCCCGCU